RNAcentral lists this long non-coding RNA (506 nucleotides) under Theobroma cacao (cacao). RNAcentral describes it as "long non-coding RNA (TCAC_LNC003773)". The record is from RNAcentral. Lineage: Eukaryota; Viridiplantae; Streptophyta; Magnoliopsida; Malvales; Malvaceae.
UAUAGCGUAAAAGUUAAUUAUAUUCAUAUAUACUAUAAAGCAAAUAACCAAAGCAUAAAAUUACUUUUACAGUGACACGUGGGCCCACAUCUAACCAAAAUGCAUCGAAAGUUGAAAACCUAUAACUUUUGCCGAUUCAAGUCCAAAUGAAGGUCCUUGUCAAAGUCAGCUAACUAUGGAAUUUCUCGAGCCUGAAAUGUGAGGAAAUGAGGGUGGUGAGAUUAUAAAAUCCCAGUGAGUAAACAGACACCAUCUAAACUAUCUAAAGACAAGUAAAUGGAAACGAAUUAAAAUAAGUCAUCAUAUUGUAAUUUCAUUACCUUUCAACUCAUUUCACCCAAAUAAACAAAUAGGCUUAUGAUCUUCUGAAAGGCUUGGCUCGUGCCAAAAAUCAUUCUCAUACUCAGUUAUCAGGGAUACCUUGAUCGAGGGUUAUCCCAACCGAGUCCGCCAAGGUUGUUAAAUGUCUUUACAUCCGAAAUUUUAGCCAUGCCUUGGCGUUGGCU